AGGUUCGUCCGCCCUGGGUUAGUCGGGACCUAAGCUGAGGCCGAAAGGCGUAGGUGAUGGACAACAGGUUGAUAUUCCUGUACUACCGAUAACCGUUUGAGAGAAGGGAUGACACAAUAGGAUAAGCUAAGCACACUGUUGGUUAUGUGUGCCCAAGCAUUGAGGCAGUCAAAGCAGGCAAAUCCGCUUUGAUAAUGCUGGGAUGUGAUGGGGAGCGAAAUUUAGUAGCGAAGUAGCUGAUUUCACACUGUCAAGAAAAGUCUCUAUCGAGGUUAAAGGUACCCGUACCGCAAACCGACACAGGUGGGUGAGGAGAGUAUCCUAAGGCCAGCGAGAGAACUGUUGUUAAGGAACUCGGCAAAAUGACCCCGUAACUUAGGGAUAAGGGGUGCCACCAUCCGGUGGCCGCAGAGAAUAGGCCCAAGCGACUGUUUACCAAAAACAUAGGUUUCUGCUAAGUCGCAAGACGAUGUAUAGGAGCUGACGCCUGCCCGGUGCUGGAAGGUUAAGGGGAUCUGUUAGAGCAAUCGAAGCAGUGAACUUAAGCCCCAGUAAACGGCGGCCGUAACUAUAACGGUCCUAAGGUAGCGAAAUUCCUUGUCGGGUAAGUUCCGACCCGCACGAAAGGCGUAACGAUUUGGGCACUGUCUCAACAACAGACUCGGUGAAAUUGUAAUUCCGGUGAAGAUGCCGGAUACCUGCGACAGGACGGAAAGACCCCAUGGAGCUUUACUGUAGCUUGACAUUGGGUCUUGGUACUACAUGUACAGGAUAGGUGGGAGGCUUUGAAACCAGGACGCCAGUUUUGGCGGAGCCAUCCUUGGGAUACCACCCUUGUAGUACUGGGACUCUAACCAUAGGCCAUGAAUCUGGUCUUGGGACACUGUCAGGUGGGCAGUUUGACUGGGGCGGUCGCCUCCCAAAAGGUAACGGAGGCGCUCAAAGGUUCUCUCAGUACGGUCGGAAAUCGUACGUAGAGUGUAAAGGCAAAAGAGAGCUUGAUUGCAAGACAUACAGGUCGAGCAAGGAUGAAAAUCGGACUUAGUGAUCCGGUGGUUCUGCGUGGAAGGGCCAUCGCUCAACGGAUAAAAGCUACCCUGGGGAUAACAGGCUUAUCUCCCCCAAGAGUCCACAUCGACGGGGAGGUUUGGCACCUCGAUGUCGGCUCAUCACAUCCUGGGGCUGUAGUAGGUCCCAAGGGUUGGGCUGUUCGCCCAUUAAAGUGGUACGCGAGCUGGGUUCAGAACGUCGUGAGACAGUUCGGUCCCUAUCCGUCGCAGGCGUAGGAAAUUUGAGAAGACCUGUCCUUAGUACGAGAGGACCGGGAUGGACGUACCUCUGGUGUACCAGUUGUCCUGCCAAGGGCAUGGCUGGGUAGCUAUGUACGGAAUGGAUAAGCGCUGAAAGCAUCUAAGCGCGAAGCCAACUUCAAGAUAAGAUUUCCCACCGCAAGGGUAAGACCCCAGAAAGACUAUCUGGUUGAUAGGUCGAAGGUGUAAGUGCAGCAAUGUAUUUAGCUUAUCGAUACUAAUAGGUCGAGGACUUGACCAA
Molecule: ribosomal RNA, 1551 nt
Filed under: Clostridioides difficile
Lineage: Bacteria; Bacillati; Bacillota; Clostridia; Peptostreptococcales; Peptostreptococcaceae
Description: bacterial LSU rRNA
Rfam family: Bacterial large subunit ribosomal RNA
Source: RNAcentral